This 2551-nucleotide long non-coding RNA is filed under the name Capsella rubella. Its description in RNAcentral is "long non-coding RNA (CRUB_LNC003768)". Lineage: Eukaryota; Viridiplantae; Streptophyta; Magnoliopsida; Brassicales; Brassicaceae. The record is from RNAcentral.
AAGAACGCUGAUAUCGCGGUCAAUGGUCUCCUCGAGUUCCUCGGAAACAAGAAGAUGGAGAAAGGAGAUGGCAAAGUAGAGAAAGAGGGAGAGCUUGAAUAUGCUGACACUAAAGAAGCUUAAACAUAAGUAGACCUCUGCUGCUAUUGAGAAAGUUAUCAUUCUAGUGGAUAUGCAUACUGUAUAUUGAAAAUAAUUAAAAUAUCUAAACAUUUUGUGGUCAUGUUGAAGAACAUUACCUUUUUUCAUAUAUUAUUGUGGCGAAAAUAAAUGGUUUCUAAGUGGAAUUAAUUAGAUUAUAUAUGUGUGUUUAAUAUUUUUUUUUUUUUACCAUUUCUAUAUUAUUAAAUUUUAACCAUUUUUGUUUUUUGUUCAUCUAAUCAUUAUUCUUUUUUUUUUGAACACCAGUCUAGACAUUAUUCAAUUUUUGUUUCUUGCAUAUUUCUUUAUGUUGUAAUUUAUUGUUUCAUUAGUAUUACUACAUUUUAGCUAGUUUGCAUUAUAAUCUAUAUAUGUAUGUAUAUAUUUUAAUAUAAUUAAAUCAUUAAAAUAAAAUUUAAUCAGAUUUUUUUUCAGUUAACAGUAUUAACUAUUAAGUGAUACUUUCCUGUGAGAAAAUUAUUCUUUAAUUAAUUUUAAGAGUAAAUAAAAAGUUUUAUACUAAGAAUAAUUUCACCAUUUAAAAACUCUUGUAAAUUUCUUUAAAAACUCUUGUAAAACCUUUAAAAUACCUUUUAAAAAUCCUUGUAAAAAAUUAUGCCGGAAAAUUUUGUAAAAAUAUUUUUUUUUGCCGGAAAUUGUUUUGGCGGAAAAAGUUUUGGCGAGAAAUUUUUGGGGAGAAAAUUUUUGGAAAGAAUAUUCCUUCCUAUGGGAAAUAAUAUUCUUUCAAAUAGGGUAAAAUGGCCCUUAAAAUUUAGCAGAGGACAAACAUGAAAAUGGCAAAAUAAGAGGGUAGUUUUGCAAAAAGGUAUCAUAAAAAGAUUAUUAGUAAUUAUUUCUCUAAAAUCUAAUGAUUUGAUCUAUAUUAGCAAAGAAGUUUCAUUUCCAAUAAAUUAGGUUACAAAUUUAAUACUUGUAAAAUAUUUUAUUUUACUAUACAAAAGGAAUAUUUUUAUUUUUACUUGAUUUUCUUUUUUUAUGAUAUGCUAAUAAUUAUUUCAUUUUAAAAUACUUUAGUAAAUUUAGAAUUAACAUGUGUCAACAUUUAACAGGGACAAUUGACAUGAGGCACAAUCUUCUUAAUAACUAACUUUGAAAACAAAAAUUAAUAUAAAAAAAUUCAUAUUUUAUUUUAGAUAUUUUUUUGUGCUUUAUACUCUUUUUGUAGAAGACAAUAAAUAUCAUUAAGGUUUAGCUUAGUUUAUUUUUUUUUAAAAAUUAUUGCUUUCUUCUUAAUAGUAUGUGACACUUUUCCAAUGAGAGGAACUCUCAAAUUAUAUUAUGAAUAUCUUGAUAGUUAAUAAAUUCUAUUGUUUGUAAUUUUUAUUUUCUUUCUUUAUUAAGCAUUUAAAUAUUAAAAGUUGGCUAGGUUUCUCUUUAUAACCCCAAAUAAACACAUACUCUUCUAAACAAAAGCUCUUCACCAUCUUCCUUGUUGCUUAAGCUAUGGCUUCUCUCUUUAACCAAGUCCCUUCUAUAUCCACAGUUUUCGGCCUCUACACAUCUUUAUCUGCAACCACUUUGAUCCUCCGUAAAAUCCUCAACGACGUUGUGCCUAAACCAUUACGAGAUUACAUCACUAAGAAAUUUGCAGAACUGUUCUCUUCUCACUUCCAGUCGAAUUUCACGUUUGUGAUUGACAAAACAUGUGAGUUUUGUGAAAAUCAGACUUUCCGUGGGGCCGAAGUUUACUUAAAAUCGCGUCUCGCGGGACUUUACCCCCUACUGUACUGCACAUCCUUUUUGCCCUCACAAUCAUUGAUUUUGUCUCCAUACCUCAUUCCUAUUCAAGAAUCCAUCUUAUAAAAUCAGAUCCUCUUACGUAAGUUUGGCGGAAAAACUUGACUACGAAGAUUUGAUAGAUGAAUUUGCAAGUAGAAAUGCAAGAAGAAUCAUAUUCAGAAAAAGAAAAUUUUUAUUGAUAUGUGAUGUUUUAGAACUUUUAAUGCUUUUGUUAACCAUAUCAGUUUUAUGUUUACUUUGAUCAAUUUUUUUUUAAUUAUGAAUAUGAAGAAAGUGGUCUUUUUUUUUGUCCGGCUUGUAGUCGUAUUAAGUGUAGGGACGGCUCUGUAUGUACCUCAAGAUUGAUGACCAUGUCCUAUUUGAUCCCAUUGAGAAGCUUGUCCUUGAGGUGAGUUUAACUCCUGCUGAAGUCGCACAGCAGCUCAUGGCGAGUAAGAAUGCUGAUAUCGCGGUCAAUGGUCUCCUCGAGUUCCUCGAAAACAAGAAGAUGGAGAAAGGAGAUGGCAAAGUAGAGAAAGAGGGAGAGCUUGAAUAUGCUGACACUAAAGAAGCUUAAAUAUAAGUAGACCUCUGCUGCUAUUGAGAAAGUUAUCAUUUUUAUGUGAAUAAACCAUUCUAGUGGAUAUGCAUAUAUUGAAAAUAAUUAAAA